This 253-nucleotide ribosomal RNA is filed under the name uncultured bacterium. RNAcentral describes it as "partial 16S ribosomal RNA". It matches the Rfam family "Bacterial small subunit ribosomal RNA", at positions 524 to 776 of the family's 1533-position model. The record is from RNAcentral.
UACGUAGGGCGCAAGCGUUGUCCGGAAUUAUUGGGCGUAAAGAGCUCGUAGGCGGCCUGUUACGUCUGCUGUGAAAUCCCGGGGCUUAACCCCGGGCGUGCAGUGGAUACGGGCAGGCUGGAGGCAGGCAGGGGAGAACGGAAUUCCCGGUGUAGCGGUGAAAUGCGCAGAUAUCGGGAGGAACACCGGUGGCGAAGGCGGUUCUCUGGGCCUUACCUGACGCUGAGGAGCGAAAGUGUGGGGAGCGAACAGG